CCCUAGUAUGCUAAAAUAUUUGAAAUUAGUAUUAGUGAAAUUUAAUAAUUUUGGCGGUUAAUUGAUAUUUGGAGGAGCUUGUAUUUUGAUAGAAUUAGCUCUUUAUAUUUAAUAAAUAUUUUAAUUUAUUCAUCUCCGUUAUAAAUUUUUAAAGUAUGGGGUUCUAGAAAUAAAUUUUUUAAUAUUUCAGGUCAAGAUGUAGUUUAUAUUAUAAAAUAUUAGCUACAUUUAUGAAAUUAUUGGAUUUUAUUAAAUUUGUAAUAUUUGUAAGAAAUUGAAUUUAGUUGUAAUAUUAAUUAUAAUUUUAAUAUGAAUGGGUUCGGUUAAUGUA
RNAcentral lists this ribosomal RNA (331 nucleotides) under Holoversia nigra. RNAcentral's name for it is "partial 12S ribosomal RNA". Lineage: Eukaryota; Metazoa; Arthropoda; Arachnida; Opiliones; Gonyleptidae. The record is from RNAcentral.